UGGGGAAUAUUGGACAAUGGGCGAAAGCCUGAUCCAGCAAUGCCGCGUGAGUGAUGAAGGCCCUAGGGUUGUAAAGCUCUUUUACCCGGGAUGAUAAUGACAGUACCGGGAGAAUAAGCUCCGGCUAACUCCGUGCCAGCAGCCGCGGUAAUACGGAGGGAGCUAGCGUUGUUCGGAAUUACUGGGCGUAAAGCGCACGUAGGCGGCUUUGUAAGUCAGAGGUGAAAGCCCGGAGCUUAACUCCGGAAUUGCCUUUGAGACUGCAUCGCUUGAAUCCGGGAGAGGUGAGUGGAAUUCCGAGUGUAGAGGUGAAAUUCGUAGAUAUUCGGAAGAACACCAGUGGCGAAGGCGGCUCACUGGACCGGUAUUGACGCUGAGGUGCGAAAGCGUGGGGAGCAAACA
Molecule: ribosomal RNA, 402 nt
Filed under: uncultured bacterium
Lineage: Bacteria
Description: bacterial SSU rRNA
Rfam family: Bacterial small subunit ribosomal RNA
Source: RNAcentral